GACGAACGCUGGCGGCGUGCUUAACACAUGCAAGUCGAACGGAAAGGCCUGCUUUCCCUUGUGGAUUGCGGGUACUCGAGUGGCGAACGGGUGAGUAACACGUGAGUGAUCUGCCCCCAACUUGGGUAUAAGCCUGGGAAACUGGGUCUAAUUCCCGAUAGGACUGCAGGGUGGUGCCUGUGGUGGAAAACGAUUUUCUAGUGGUUGGGGAUGAGCUCGCGGCCUAUCAGCUUGUUGGUGGGGUAAUGGCCUACCAAGGCGGCGACGGGUAGCCGGCCUGAGAGGGUGGACGGCCACAUUGGGACUGAGAUACGGCCCAGACUCCUACGGGAGGCAGCAGUGGGGAAUAUUGCACAAUGGGCGGAAGCCUGAUGCAGCGACGCCGCGUGGGGGAUGACGGCCUUCGGGUUGGAAACUCCUUUCGACCGCGAGGAAGCCACCUGGUUGGAAGGGUGGUGACGGUAGUGGUAGAAGAAGCACCGGCGAACUACGU
This 493-nucleotide ribosomal RNA is filed under the name uncultured bacterium. RNAcentral describes it as "partial 16S ribosomal RNA". It matches the Rfam family "Bacterial small subunit ribosomal RNA", at positions 28 to 506 of the family's 1533-position model. The record is from RNAcentral.